GGAGCNUGUGGUUUAAUUCGAAGCAACGCGAAGAACCUUACCAGGUCUUGACAUCCUUUGACCACUCGAGAGAUCGAGCUUUCCCUUCGGGGACAAAGUGACAGGUGGUGCAUGGUUGUCGUCAGCUCGUGUCGUGAGAUGUUGGGUUAAGUCCCGCAACGAGCGCAACCCUUAUUACUAGUUGCCAGCAUUCAGUUGGGCACUCUAGUGAGACUGCCGGUGACAAACCGGAGGAAGGUGGGGAUGACGUCAAAUCAUCAUGCCCCUUAUGACCUGGGCUACACACGUGCUACAAUGGAUGGUACAACGAGUCGCGAAGUCGUGAGGCCAAGCUAAUCUCUUAAAGCCAUUCUCAGUUCGGAUUGUAGGCUGCAACUCGCCUACANGAAGCCNGAAUCGC
This 400-nucleotide ribosomal RNA is filed under the name Carnobacterium sp. AZTITEMP60. RNAcentral describes it as "bacterial SSU rRNA". It matches the Rfam family "Bacterial small subunit ribosomal RNA", at positions 934 to 1335 of the family's 1533-position model. Lineage: Bacteria; Bacillati; Bacillota; Bacilli; Lactobacillales; Carnobacteriaceae. The record is from RNAcentral.